UCGGCUCGGGAGAAUCCGCUCGGGGGCAGGAAGUGGCCCGCUGCUCCUCUCCGAGAGCGUUUCCGGAGCGCCUACUGUGUGCUCCGCGCCGGCGGCGGGGGCCGGUCCAGAGGGGAGAAGUCCCGCAGAAACUGACGUUUGUGGGGCCGCUCCCCGCGCCCCAUCUCCCGCCGGCGGUGCGAUGGUUCCCUUCGCACCAAGAGGAAACUGAGGCCCGGUCAGCCCGGGGAUUUGCCCGAGCUGCUGAGGACCGGGCUCUGACGGCGACGACUCCUCUGCCCUCAACGGCCGCUAGAGUCGGGUAGAAGGCUGCCUCGGACAGAAGCCCGAAGCCCGCACUCCUGCGUGUAGAACACAGGAGGCGGCCUGAGCACUGUUCAUUCCGGUGGAAGACUGCAGACAACUAUAUGCUCCCUCACCAGGAGCUGACUUCUUGCAGGAACUCUGGGACCUCCGUACAGCAAGCAGGAUGCUGUAAUGGGGAGCCCCACUUCUGGACAUGCAGGGCAGGAUGGCAUGCUUCUGGGGGCAGCGUCGACUGCACAGAGCGAGCAGCAUGCUGGACGAGAGCCGAGCGUGGACCCCGCACACUGAUGAACGUGAGCCCCCAGCUCAAAGACGACACACGGAGAAGGGAGCCAAGCAGCACUGACCGAUGUGGGCAGCGUUAGUGCCGACCAGGAAUUUGUCC
Molecule: long non-coding RNA, 691 nt
Organism: Nyctereutes procyonoides (raccoon dog)
Lineage: Eukaryota; Metazoa; Chordata; Mammalia; Carnivora; Canidae
Exons: 3
Source: RefSeq, a predicted model, not a curated record